Molecule: transfer RNA, 73 nt
Filed under: Heterocephalus glaber (naked mole-rat)
Lineage: Eukaryota; Metazoa; Chordata; Mammalia; Rodentia; Bathyergidae
Rfam family: tRNA
About the family: Transfer RNA (tRNA) molecules are approximately 80 nucleotides in length. Their secondary structure includes four short double-helical elements and three loops (D, anti-codon, and T loops).
Source: Rfam by way of RNAcentral
GGUGAUGUCGCUCAGUGGUAGAAGCACGUACUUUGCAUGUACAAGGCCAUGGGUUCAAUCCCCAAUACCACCA